RNAcentral lists this ribosomal RNA (553 nucleotides) under uncultured archaeon. RNAcentral's name for it is "bacterial SSU rRNA". It matches the Rfam family "Archaeal small subunit ribosomal RNA", at positions 325 to 879 of the family's 1478-position model. The record is from RNAcentral.
ACGGGGAGCAGCAGGCGCGAAACCUUCGCAAUGCGUGAAAGCGUGACGAGGGGAUCCCAAGUGCCCUCGCACUGCGGGGGCUUUUCUGGAGUCUAGCGUGCUCUAGGUAAUAAGGGCUGGGAAAGACCGGUGCCAGCCGCCGCGGUAACACCGGCAGCCCGAGUGGUGACCACUUUUAUUGGGCUUAAAGCGUCCGUAGCCGGGCUCACAAGCCCCUGGUUAAAUUCUACGGCUUAACCGUAGAUUUGCUGGGGGAACUGUAAGCCUUGGGGCCGGAAGAGGCCGAGGGUACUCCCGGGGUAGUGGUAAAAUGCUAUAAUCCUGGGGGGACCACCAAAAGCGAAAGCACCCGGCUUGGACGGGCCCGACGGUGAGGGACGAAGGCCAGGGGAGCGAACCGGAUUAGAUACCCGGGUAGUCCUGGCUGUAAACAAUGUGGACUAAGUGUCUCCGAGACCACGAGUCUCGGAGGCGCUGAAGUGAAAUCAUUAAGUCCACCGCCUGGGAAGUACGGCCGCAAGACUGAAACUUAAAGGAAUUGGCGGGGGAGCAC